Molecule: ribosomal RNA, 497 nt
Filed under: uncultured bacterium
Lineage: Bacteria
Description: partial 16S ribosomal RNA
Rfam family: Bacterial small subunit ribosomal RNA
Source: RNAcentral
GAUGAACGCUGGCGGCGUGCCUAAUACAUGCCAGUCGAGCGAACAGAUGAGGAGCUUGCUCCUCUGACGUUAGCGGCGGACGGGUGAGUAACACGUGGAUAACCUACUUAUAAGACUGGGAUAACUUCGGGAAACAGGAGCUACUACCAGAGAAUAUAUUGAACCGCAGAGUUCAAUAGUGAAUGACGGCUUUGCUGUCACUUUUAGAUGAAUCCGCGCCGCAUUAGCUAGUUGGUAAGGUAACGGCUUACCAAGGCAACGAUGCGUAGCCGACCUGAGAGGGUGAUCGGCCACACUGGAACUGAGACACGGUCCAGACUCCUACGGGAGGCAGCAGUAGGGAAUCUUCCGCAAUGGGCGAAAGCCUGACGGAGCAACGCCGCGUGAGUGAUGAAGGUCUUCGGAUCGUAAAACUCUGUUAUUAGGGAAGAACAAAUGUGUAAGUAACUAUGCACGUCUUGACGGUACCUAAUCAGAAAGCCACGGCUAACUACGUG